UACGUAGGGUGCGAGCGUUGUCCGGAAUUAUUGGGCGUAAAGAGCUCGUAGGCGGUGUGUCGCGUCGGCCGUGAAAACCUGGGGCUCAACUCUGGGCGUGCGGUCGAUACGGGCAUCACUUGAGUCCGGUAGGGGAGCGUGGAAUUCCCGGUGUAGCGGUGAAAUGCGCAGAGAUCGGGAGGAACACCCGUAGCAAAGGCGGCGCUCUGGGCCGGUACUGACGCUGAGGAGCGAAAGCGUGGGGAGCAAACAGG
Molecule: ribosomal RNA, 254 nt
Filed under: uncultured bacterium
Lineage: Bacteria
Description: partial 16S ribosomal RNA
Rfam family: Bacterial small subunit ribosomal RNA
Source: RNAcentral